UAUCUCUGUAGAGUCUGCAUAUCAAUAAGCGGAGGAAAAGAAACUAACAAGGAUUCCCUUAGUAACGGUGAGUGAAGCGGGAAGAGCUCAAAUUUGAAAUCUUCAAGGUUCUACCUUGACGAAUUGUAGUUUAUAGAAGUGUUUUCUGUUAGUGGAGUGGCAAAAGUUCUUUGGAAUAGGACAUCAUAGAGGGUGAGAAUCCCGUAUUUGGUCAUUCCUCCUAGCGUUGUGAUACACUUUCAACGAGUCGGAUUGUUUGGGAAUGCAGUCCAAAAUGGGUGGUAAAUUUCAUCUAAAGCUAAAUAUUGGCGAGAGACCGAUAGCGAACAAGUACCGUGAGGGAAAGAUGAAAAGAACUUUGAAAAGAGAGUUAAACAGUACGUGAAAUUGUCAAAAGGGAAGCGUUUGACACCAGUGUUGUUUUUCCGAAAAUCAAUUACGAAUGUUUUAUUUUUGAGGAGUUAUGACUUCAUCGGCUUGCUCCUUUCUUUAUGAAACUUUCUUAAUGCACUUUUCGGUUAACAAGUCAACAUCAAUUUCUUUUGUUGUAAAAGGGUAUGAGGAAGGUGGCUUUCUUUUCGGAGAAAGUGUUUAUAGCCUUGUACCUCUGCAAUCGGAGAGAUUGAGGUCUGCAGCGUAGAUCCUUCGGGGUUAGAUACAUUUGUGCUAAGUUAUAGCUUUUCAUAGACAACUUGUUGACUAUGAUCAGUCAUGUAGCUUACUCGCUUAUGUCAUUUUACCUACGCUUAGGAUGUUGAUGUGAUACUGCGAGCA
RNAcentral lists this ribosomal RNA (774 nucleotides) under uncultured Neocallimastigales. RNAcentral's name for it is "partial large subunit ribosomal RNA". It matches the Rfam family "Eukaryotic large subunit ribosomal RNA", at positions 24 to 646 of the family's 3401-position model. Lineage: Eukaryota; Fungi; Neocallimastigomycota; Neocallimastigomycetes; Neocallimastigales. The record is from RNAcentral.